RNAcentral lists this ribosomal RNA (468 nucleotides) under uncultured bacterium. Its description in RNAcentral is "partial 16S ribosomal RNA". It matches the Rfam family "Bacterial small subunit ribosomal RNA", at positions 28 to 507 of the family's 1533-position model. The record is from RNAcentral.
GACGAACGCUGGCGGCGUGCUUAACACAUGCAAGUCGAACGGAAAGGCCCUGCUUUUGUGGGGUGCUCGAGUGGCGAACGGGUGAGUAACACGUGAGUAACCUGCCCUUGACUUUGGGAUAACUUCAGGAAACUGGGGCUAAUACCGGAUAGGAGCUCCUGCUGCAUGGUGGGGGUUGGAAAGUUUCGGCGGUUGGGGAUGGACUCGCGGCUUAUCAGCUUGUUGGUGGGGUAGUGGCUUACCAAGGCUUUGACGGGUAGCCGGCCUGAGCGGGUGACCGGCCAAAUUGGGACUGAGAUACGGCCCAGACUCCUACGGGAGGCAGCAGUGGGGAAUAUUGCACAAUGGGCGGAAGCCUGAUGCAGCAACGCCGCGUGCGGGAUGACGGCCUUCGGGUUGUAAACCGCUUUCGCCUGUGACGAAGCGUGAGUGACGGUAAUGGGUAAAGAAGCACCGGCUAACUACGUG